Long non-coding RNA from Triticum urartu, 749 nucleotides. RefSeq lists it as uncharacterized. Lineage: Eukaryota; Viridiplantae; Streptophyta; Magnoliopsida; Poales; Poaceae. The record is from RefSeq and is a predicted model, not a curated record.
GUUAGCAUUUCUUUACAGAGGGAGUAUUAAUUAAGCUAUCAGUUUAUUAUUUUUCAGUUCGUGUUUUAUAAUUGUUUUCUUAGUAUAUUUGGUGCAUGAUCAAUUAUCAGAAUUGUUAAUUCACUCAGGUUUCAUCCUGCUGGGUUCAGGUCAGGUGCAUUGUUGAUGUUUAUUUUCUAAGACUUGUCAAUUUAAAUUUAGCCUUUUUUCAGUCUUCUGCAGGAAGGUGAUCACAUUUUUUCUUUGAGUUCUUCUCAAGUAGAAUAGCAAGGACACAAAUGCCCUUUUAAGGUAGCCUCCAACUUGAGGACCACCCCGACGGCAAGCAUGGCUGGACUAUGCCUUGGAGGAGGGAUUGUAAGCACUGCCGCAUACAAGUCAGUAGGAGAUGGUCGUAUCACUUUUCAACAAGGAUGGCCGAGAGGAAUUCCCGGAGGAGAACUACCAAGCAUUGAGAGAGCGGUGCUAAUCACCAUCAGGAACAGUGCACUGGACGAACUGAAUACGAUGGACGAUGGUUGUCUUCAACGAGGUCUAAUUAUGAGAUUGUCAGGAAUAAGGCUGUUUUAAGUUACCGCAGUUUGUUAUGUUGUCUGUUAUCCUUGUCGCGCCAGAAGAUUGACGAACUAUGCUUUGUUUCUUUUUUUAUUUGGUGGUAUUCACCGUCAAGAACUAUGUAUAUUGCCUUCUUGUGCUUUUUGUGUGUGGCACUUGAUUAUUAAGUGAUCAGUAAUCAUGUUUCUCUCUUU